AUGGCGCCGUCCGACCCGAAAACCACGACCGAGGCGGAGGUCCACCCCAACGCCCACCUAUGGGCGCAGGCCACGGCCAUCCAGAGCGUCCGCUCUCUCGUCCCAGUCAUCCUCGACUUCAAGGUGCCAUCCUUCCCCAAGUGGCGCUGCUUCUUCAACAUCGCUGUGACGACCUACGCCCUCGAGGACCACCUCACCACGGAGACGGCCCCGUCCGAUCCCACAUGGCUUCGCCUCGACGCUACCGUGCUACGCUGGCUGUACGGCUCCAUGGCGCUGGACAUCGUCGAUCUCGUCAUGAAGGCCGACGCCACCGCCUACACGGUCUGGACCGCCGUCGACGCGCUCUUCAACGACAACAAGAAGACGCGCGAGAUCUACCUCGCUGAGGAGUUCCGCAGCAUCAAGCAGGGUGACCGGUCUGUCACCGAGUAUCUCCAUCUGCAAAAGACGGCGGCCGACGCCCUCGCCGAGGUCGGCUCUCCCGUCUCCGACACCGACCUCGUCACCAACAUCAUCAAGGGCCUUCACGAGCGCUUCGACAGCGUGGCUGACAUCGCCCCGCUCCUGACGCCGUUCCCGACCUUCCUCAACUUUCGGAACAUGCUCCUCCUCCACGAGAUGAAGGCGGCACGUCGUUCCACCACCAACUCCUCCGCCUCUGCCUUCUACUCCGCCAAGGGCAACCCUGGACACGCUGGUGGCUCGCAGGGUGCAGCCGGCGGCCAGCCAUGGAGGCCACCCGCAAACCCUAAUCAUGGCGCCUCGGGUUACGGCAAGAACAAGGGCAAAAAGCCCAAUGGUGGCUACGGCUCGAAGCCGUCCGGUGGCUCCGGCAACGCCGGCAACCUCAUGCCGACGCCUUACAACCCCUGGACUGGAGCUAUCCAGAUGUGGCCCAUGCAGCAGCCCGGCAGCGGCAUCCUCGGGCCUCGCCCUGGCGCACCUCGCGCUCAUGCCUACAUGGCAGCGCCUCCGGCCACGCCGACGUCCCUCUACCACGACUACGGUGUAGCCCAUGGCCAGGCGUACCAGUCUGGCGGCGCUCCCUACGGUGCAGCUUCCUAUGGUGCAGCUCCCGCGCCUCGAGCACCUACGCCGACAUGGGACCCAUCUGCUCUUGCGCAGCAAUUCAACACCAUGACGCUGCAACCCCCUCCUCACGAGUGGAUCAUGGACACAGGCGCCACGGCUCACCUCUCGUCUGACCCUGGACCUUCCCACCCGGCGCGAGAUUCUUCGGUGCAAUAG
RNAcentral lists this ribosomal RNA (1251 nucleotides) under Triticum aestivum (bread wheat). RNAcentral describes it as "partial small subunit ribosomal RNA". Lineage: Eukaryota; Viridiplantae; Streptophyta; Magnoliopsida; Poales; Poaceae. The record is from RNAcentral.